UUUAAAUGAAGAGUUUGAGCAUGGCUCAGAUGGAACGCUGGCGGCAGGCCUAACACAUGCAAGUCCAACGGUAACA
RNAcentral lists this ribosomal RNA (76 nucleotides) under Escherichia coli O157:H7 str. K5453. RNAcentral's name for it is "partial 16S ribosomal RNA". The record is from RNAcentral. Lineage: Bacteria; Pseudomonadati; Pseudomonadota; Gammaproteobacteria; Enterobacterales; Enterobacteriaceae.